GGGGGUUAGGUCAAAUUUACAUGUGACGCAUCAAGUUCCUUCAAGGAACUUCUUCUUCUCCCUCAACGCUUUCAUGGCCGCGGCGGUGAUUCACUUUUUCCCGAUCAAAAUUUCGGCCGUUCCCUCCGUCAUGAUCUCGCCUCCACCUCUUAUCUUUCGUUCCUCCGCAAUCCGAUUCAAGCUCGUUCCAUUGCCUCAAUCACCCACACGACCUGAGAAGUUUCUAGUAACUCUUCGGAGAUGAUGAAGAUGAACAGAGAAUCUUGCGUGUUCAGGUACGUAUGACCUUUACUUUCCCCCGCGACUUCUUUUUCUUCUACUCUUUCUAUUUUCUGUGUGGAUGCAUCGUGAUGUCUCACGAAGAUAAUGGAGGCGAUGAUGACUUGUAUCUUUUUGCAGAUUGAUGAUGGUAUCGGAGAACGAAGAUGAUUAUGUGGAAGAAGAUGAUGAUGGUGUGAAUGCUUAUUAUGGUGAUUUCUUCAGAGGUAUUGAUCGAAAACGAUGUUGUAGAGGAGAUUCUUGAAGAUUUAUUCUAACGAUGAAUGUUGCUGUGACCUGAAGUGAAGAUUAAGGGUUGGAGUUUUGCAGUGAUGAACGAUUGAAGAUUGAGAGUUCAAUUUUUUGAAGGUUGAAGAAUGAUUGUAGGGAGAAGAUGAAGGAGAUAGAAUCUCGUGUGUUUUCAAGCUUUUUUCUUGGAGAAUUGAGAUGCGUAGAUUGAAGAUUCCAGAGUCAGAGAAGAGAGUUUUUUAUGAUUUGAUUUUGUUUGAUGCUAAGAACCGAUUCGGCUUAGCUAGCGCUUGCAGUAUGUUUUGUGAUGCAACUGGUGCAAUUCUGUCUAGGUUGAAGUUGCAAGGAUUUGAGUGGGACAUUGGCAAAGGCUUGGGCGGUUUGAAUUUGGCUGAUUUAAUUUUUGUGUUGUUUGAAUUGUAUUGAUUUUUGGAUGUAAUAAAUGUGGAUGUAAUUUUGCUAGUAUAAUCUUUUUAAUCAACUUGAAUGAACAAAGAAGAUCCUAAAGAAUAAAGAAGAUCCUCGGCCAGAAACUGAUUAUCCUGUCCGACCAAUCCUCGACGGAGACAUCGAGCUCAUCCCCCUCGGCUA
Molecule: long non-coding RNA, 1098 nt
Organism: Vicia villosa (hairy vetch)
Lineage: Eukaryota; Viridiplantae; Streptophyta; Magnoliopsida; Fabales; Fabaceae
Exons: 3
Source: RefSeq, a predicted model, not a curated record